RNAcentral lists this ribosomal RNA (468 nucleotides) under uncultured bacterium. RNAcentral describes it as "partial 16S ribosomal RNA". It matches the Rfam family "Bacterial small subunit ribosomal RNA", at positions 28 to 507 of the family's 1533-position model. The record is from RNAcentral.
GACGAACGCUGGCGGCGUGCUUAACACAUGCAAGUCGAACGGAAAGGCCCUGCUUUUGUGGGGUGCUCGAGUGGCGAACGGGUGAGUAACACGUGAGUAACCUGCCCUUGACUUUGGGGUAACUUCAGGAAACUGGGGCUAAUACCGGAUAGGAGCUCCUGCUGCAUGGUGGGGGUUGGAAAGUUUCGGCGGUUGGGGAUGGACUCGCGGCUUAUCAGCUUGUUGGUGGGGUAGUGGCUUACCAAGGCUUUGACGGGUAGCCGGCCUGAGAGGGUGACCGGCCACAUUGGGACUGAGAUACGGCCCAGACUCCUACGGGAGGCAGCAGUGGGGAAUAUUGCACAGUGGGCGGAAGCCUGAUGCAGCAACGCCGCGUGCGGGAUGACGGCCUUCGGGUUGUAAACCGCUUUCGCCUGUGACGAAGCGUGAGUGACGGUAAUGGGUAAAGAAGCACCGGCUAACUACGUG